This is a non-coding RNA of Podarcis muralis (Common wall lizard), 429 nucleotides long. The record is from RefSeq and is a predicted model, not a curated record. NCBI's taxonomy places the organism in Eukaryota, Metazoa, Chordata, Lepidosauria, Squamata, Lacertidae.
GGAGCAAAUUGAUCACUCAGCACUUUCUGUGGUCCAGUAACUUUCAUCCAGCCUUGCUGCUUUCCCUGUGAGCUUUGCCAUCAGGCCAAAACACGAAAGGAACGCUUGCAGAAUUUUCUGCAAAUAUUCUCCAUUUUUGGCAUGGCAGCCCCCGUUUUCACCACCUACCCACAAUGCCCCAGAAUGGCGCUAGGGGGGCAGGGCACUGCUGAAAGAAUGCUGGCCAGACUGUCACACAGUGACUGAUAAUUGCUCUUACUGGAGAUGGCAUCAGCAAAGAACUUCUCUUAGAUAACCAUCCAACCCUCGGGUCCUUAUUCGGGUCAAUUUCAUGGUCAACCCAAUGAAGGCCUUCUAUUAUCUUCACAGCAUGGUGACCCAUCAAGUUGACAACAUCUAGAAAGAUUUCCCAUGCUGAAGGAGUUGAGC